GCAUCGAAGCUGCGGAACACGUGCUGGGCGUAGGCCUUGGGGUCGGCGUCGGGGAAGAACUUGGAGUAGAUGGUCUGGAACUCCUGCUGGGUGAUGCGGCCACUGGGACACUCCUUCAGGAAGGACUGGUACCAGGUACUCAGCUCUUCCUCUGUGAACCUGGUGUUCAGCUGCAGCUCCUCCAGGAUCUCCUUGGACAGGGCUCCGCUUUUGCUGUUCCCCAUGGGUGAGCAGGUGUGGGCCCAGCCGGUCUGUCGCCGCUGGGUGGGUGGGUGUGUGGGAGGAAUGGGGUCUCCGGGCUGCCUGGCUGGGUGCUGCUGGAGGCGGUUGCACCCUGAGAUGCUGGUGGAUUAGGCGGAUUUGUGGCUGGUUCACCCCUGUACUUGGAGGGAGGAGGGGCCCGGAGCUUGAGUGGGGAGACGAGCUCCCAGAAGCCCCCUGAGAUUAAAAUAAAGAGCUGACAGCAGGAGGUCAAUCCCUCUUGGCCUUCUGGGAGGAUAGGACAGGUGAUCCGAAUCUUCAGAGCCGCAGCCUUGAGCCGAGGCCUUUCCCACUGCCCCUCACCCAUCCCUGCGCCAACUUACCCCACCAGCUCUAGCUCUCUAAGAGCAACGAUGUUCCCUGCCUGCCUUCUGAGGGUCUCAGCGACAGGGAUGGCCCUGUAAUGCAGGGGUCAGGAGCCAGGCUCUGGAAGCAGCCCAGGUUCAAAUCUCAGCUUUGCAAUUUACUAGCUGUGUGACCCCAGGUGCGUUUCUUAACGUCUCUCUGCCUAGAAUUCUCUUCCCCUAAUCUUUCACCUCCUUCACGGCUUUCCUUAAAUGUCGCCUUCUCGGCCAGGCCUAUAGUGACCAUUCUGUCAACAAGAGCACCCCAACCGUCAGGCUGUUUAUCCUGCUUGACUGCUCUUCCUUGAUCGCACGUGCACCUUCUGACUUACUGUUUACGUAUUCUGCCUGCUGCCUGGGAUCGCACCAGAAUGAAAGCGCCAUGAAGGCGGGGAUUCUAUCUGUCUUGUUGCCCGCUGCAUCUCCAUCGACAGAAGGGUAUCUGGCGGGUUUGGGCCCUCAGUGACUAUUCUUUGAGUGAACAGGCAUGAUAAUAGCGUCUCUCCCACUGUUAUUGUGAGGCUGAAACGAGUUAAUACGUGCAAUGCAUUUAGAAUAGGGCCUGGCACGUAGUAAGAGCUGAAUGCAUGUUAGUUUUUGCCAUUCUUCUUCUAUGACAGGGAUCAAAAACUAAACUGCUUACAGGGGCCAGCAAGUGGAGUGUGUGAGUGAAGCCGGGGGUCAGGGAGGCAGUAGGCGUGGUGAGGCCCACGCCUGCAUGGCAGGGGCUGCCAGUGUUUGACUCCAUUUGAAUGUGGUCAGAUGGGAUUAUGGCCUGGUGUUACUAGAUUUUUUGGUAAGCCAAAAGAAAUCCAGAAAUCAGAUUUUCAGGUUUGAAAAUUGCAAUCUGGAAAUUUGGAAAUUUGGAAAAAUUGGAAAUUUGCAAUUUCCAAACUUUAAGAGUGAUUUCCAAAUUUUCAAAAAUUUUCAAAAACAUAGGGUGGGAUAAAUAUAACUUAUCUGUGGCUCCGUUUCAGCAGCAGGUCAUCAGUUUGCAACCAAGCCUGGUGCCAGGAGCUGGCAGACAACAUGCUUGUUGAGUGAGUGACUGGACAAGCAGGGGACAGGGAGCUCCACCAGGGGAGGCUUCCGCCGCUGCGGUCAGCUCGGUCAGCAGGACAGGCCACAGGGAAGAGCCCUCGUGAGUAGGUUUGCACCUUAAAUCUCAUCACCCAGAGGAGAGGUCGGUGGCGCCCUGGCUUGGCUGGGCAUAACGCCUGGAACCCCAGAAUCACCGUCUUGGAUGGGAGAGAUGUCUCUUCUUUGUCCAGGGGUGGUAACUAUGAAGAAUAAAGCCCACAGUGUCUAGGCGGGUGAGUCGGGGUUUUUAUCCUAUUUCGUAACAGGCUAAUGGCAGGGGAAAGCAGGUCCCCGCUGCUGGGAGAAAGCCCCCUGCCAGCCUCCCCUGGUGUUGCUCAGAAAGGACCCGGAAGUUCAGGCACAGAUGUGCUGACCUCUCCCUCCUGCCCACCCCACCCACUGCGGGUCCAGAGUGUUUCUCAGGAGGCCUUCAUGUUAGGGGGUGGGGUGCGUAUGUGUGUGUCAUUAUUUUUUCCCAUCAGUUUGUGACAGCAUAUCAUUUCUUGAAAGGAGCCCUUUCUCUCUGUCUAGACUUUCACUAUCUUGCAGCAUUUGUUCUCCAGAGCAGCUGGAAACAGGACAGUCACUGAACUCAAAAACAAACAAACAAACAAAAGCCAGGCCAUGAAAGUGAGGCCAGAGGCCUUCACCCUGGCCUCUGAACCUGGCAUGGGAGGUGAUUAGAAGUGCCUCCUGGGUAUCCACACCGAGACUGCAGGUGAGGCGAGGCCGAUGUCACAGGAAGAAACCAAGCUCCAAAAGGAUGUCACCUGCCUGUGUCACACAGUUGCCAAAUGGCGAAGCCAGGAGGAAAGCCCAGGGCGGCCUCUCCACUGAGGGCUCUUUUCAAGACAUUACAGCCGCCUCCCUUCUCAAGGAGGCCUGAGCAGAGGGGUCAAGAAGCCGCAUUUCUGAAGACACAGGCUCUUCCCAGAGGCUGGCCCUGUCCCACCCCAAGCUGGGAGUCCCCCAGCUCCCAUCCCGUUCCUCUACCUUCCCCUGCGUGAGCUGAACGGCAAGCAGACCCUUCGACCCCGGCCAGGAAGCAGAGAGCUAGAAAAUAAGUUCCAUGAGGUCAGGGUUCUUGAUCUGUUUUCAUCACUGAUGUGUUCCCAGUACUGAGAGCAGUGUCUGACAUACAGUGGUGUUCAAUAAUUAUUGGAUGGAUGGAUGGAUAAGAAAAGAAAUAACAGCCAGGAGCCUCUUCCGUUCACAGGGGUCCAAGGAGGAACUACCUCAUUCUCAACAGCUCACGAAACUCGUAAGUUUUUGUGUCUGAACAGAGAAGCGCCUGGGUAUCCCUCUCAUGAGGGUGUUAGGUGACAUCGCGCACAGCCGUGCUGAUGGGACACAGAUUGGGCAUGACGUGGGCACAGGGUACAAAACUGGAGGUGCCAAGGGGAGGAGACAGAACGCAGCAGCUGGAGGAGGCCUGGGAGACCGUCUAGAACGAACACCUUCAGUUUGCCGAUGAAGGAACAGAGAUCCAGGAGAGGGUGGUGAUGGGCUCCCUGUCUUCUCAUCCACGCUCCCUCCACCCACCUUCCACACCCUCUAACCCUCACCAAAUGGCAGGGACUGGGCAAGUUGAAGGGAGGGUCCCCAGAAGCAAGUAGAACUACCAGCUGAGAUGCCAGCGGAAAUGGAGGGCAGUGGAGACCCUGCCCGCCCCCUCCCCCCUCCCCCAGCAGCUUUCUGCAUCAUCAAAAACCUAAAAUGAUCCGAAAACGCAGGCGUGAGCCCCAAGAACCGCUCGUGGGCGCCGCUGGCUGAAAGCAGCCGUGCAAACGAGCUUAAGACCCCAGGCCAGGAACUUUGGGGGCAGACAACUCAUUUUAAAAGCAAGGAUGCACCCAUGCAACGGACCGCUACUCGGAGAUAUAAGGGGACAAGCUACUGACAUCCAGCCACAAGGUGACGCAGAGGCAACGGGCCGAGUGACGGAGGCCAGACUCUAAGGCUACUGCCGUGUGGCUCCACUUCUAUGACAUUCUAGAAAAGGCGAAUCUGCAGGGUCAGAAAAUCCAUCAGUGGUCACCAGGUGCUGGGGGUGGGAGGAGUGGAUGGACAUCAAAGGAGCCUGAGGGGAUGUUCUGGAGUGAUGGAAAUACCACGUUGAUUUCGGUGCUGGUUACAAGGCUGUGUACCUUUGUCAAAAUUCACUGAACUGUAGACUUCAAAAGGGUGAAUUAUACUGUAUGUCAAUGAACCCCCGAUACCAAACGUCAAAGAUCUCAAUAAACUUGUGAAAAGAAAAGGCAGGGGGACUUGUAAGGGCGGGGAGGUUUAUGGAAAUAAGACAGUAUGCCGGCUAAGGAAGCCGGCCGCUGGUCUGCGCCCCACUUAACAUUUGUCCGAGGCUUUCCCUA
Lagenorhynchus albirostris (white-beaked dolphin) is the source of this 4054-nucleotide long non-coding RNA. RefSeq lists it as uncharacterized. The transcript has 4 exons. The record is from RefSeq and is a predicted model, not a curated record. Lineage: Eukaryota; Metazoa; Chordata; Mammalia; Artiodactyla; Delphinidae.